Regulatory RNA element from Clostridium tyrobutyricum DIVETGP, 109 nucleotides. It matches the Rfam family "SAM riboswitch aptamer (S box leader)". Rfam says of the family: The SAM riboswitch is found upstream of a number of genes which code for proteins involved in methionine or cysteine biosynthesis in Gram-positive bacteria. The SAM riboswitch acts at the level of transcription termination control. The record is from Rfam. NCBI's taxonomy places the organism in Bacteria, Bacillati, Bacillota, Clostridia, Eubacteriales, Clostridiaceae.
UUCUUAUCAAGAGAGGUGGAGGGACUGGCCCUGAGAAACCCGACAACCAACAUGUUUUUAUGUGUAAUGGUGUUAAUUCCUACAGAAAUAUGAUUCUGGAAGAUAAGAA